GAAAUGCGAUAAUUAAUGUGAAUUGCAGAAUUCAGUGAAUCAUCGAGUCUUUGAACGCACAUUGCGCCCCCUGGUAUUUCGGGGGGCAUGCCUGUCCGAGCGUCAUUGCUGCCCUCAAGCACGGCUUGUGUGUUGGGCUUCCGUCCCUGGCAACGGGGACGGGCCCAAAAGGCAGUGGCGGCACCAUGUCUGGUCCUCGAGCGUAUGGGGCUUUGUCACCCGCUCCCGUAGGUCCAGCUGGCAGCUAGCCUCGCAACCAAUCUUUUUAACCAGGUUGACCUCGGAUCAGGUAGGGAUACCCGCUGAACUUAAGC
This 314-nucleotide unclassified non-coding RNA is filed under the name plant metagenome. RNAcentral describes it as "partial contains 5.8S ribosomal RNA, internal transcribed spacer 2, and large subunit ribosomal RNA". The stretch from base 1 to 105 matches the Rfam family "5.8S ribosomal RNA", at positions 50 to 154 of the family's 154-position model. The record is from RNAcentral.